RNAcentral lists this ribosomal RNA (253 nucleotides) under uncultured archaeon. RNAcentral's name for it is "partial 16S ribosomal RNA". It matches the Rfam family "Archaeal small subunit ribosomal RNA", at positions 474 to 727 of the family's 1478-position model. The record is from RNAcentral.
UACCCGCCCCCCGAGUGGUGGGGACUAUUACUGGGCUUAAAGCGCCCGUAGCCGGCCGGGUGUGUCCUCCGUUAAAUCCACGGGCCUAACCCGUGGGCUGCGGAGGAUACUACCCGGCUUGGGGGUGGGAGAGGGCGGCGGUAUUCCCGGGGUAGGGGUAAAAUCCACUGAUCCCGGGAGGACCACCAGUGGCGAAGGCGGCCGCCCAGAACACGCCCGACGGUGAGGGGCGAAAGCUGGGGGAGCAAACGGG